UACGUAGGGUGCGAGCGUUAAUCGGAAUUACUGGGCGUAAAGCGUGCGCAGGCGGCUUUGCAAGACAGAUGUGAAAUCCCCGGGCUCAACCUGGGAACUGCAUUUGUGACUGCAAGGCUAGAGUACGGCAGAGGGGGAUGGAAUUCCGCGUGUAGCAGUGAAAUGCGUAGAUAUGCGGAGGAACGCCAAUGGCGAAGGCAAUCCCCUGGGCCUGUACUGACGCUCAUGCACGAAAGCGUGGGGAGCAAACAGG
RNAcentral lists this ribosomal RNA (253 nucleotides) under uncultured bacterium. RNAcentral describes it as "partial 16S ribosomal RNA". It matches the Rfam family "Bacterial small subunit ribosomal RNA", at positions 524 to 776 of the family's 1533-position model. The record is from RNAcentral.